GGGCCCGCACAAGCGGUGGAGCAUGUGGUUCAAUUCGAAGCAACGCGAAGAACCUUACCAGCCCUUGACAUCCCGGUCGCGGGAACGAGAGAUUGAUCCCUUCAGUUCGGCUGGACCGGAGACAGGUGCUGCAUGGCUGUCGUCAGCUCGUGUCGUGAGAUGUUGGGUUAAGUCCCGCAACGAGCGCAACCCUCGCCCUUAGUUGCCAUCAUUCAGUUGGGCCCUCUAAGGGGACUGCCGGUGAUAAGCCGCGAGGAAGGUGGGGAUGACGUCAAGUCCUCAUGGCCCUUACGGGCUGGGCUACACACGUGCUACAAUGGCGGUGACAAUGGGAUGCAAUGGGGCAACCCUGCGCAAAUCUCAAAAAGCCGUCUCAGUUCGGAUUGUGCUCUGCAACUCGAGCACAUGAAGUUGGAAUCGCUAGUAAUCGCAGAUCAGCACGCUGCGGUGAAUACGUUCCCGGGCCUU
RNAcentral lists this ribosomal RNA (468 nucleotides) under uncultured bacterium. Its description in RNAcentral is "bacterial SSU rRNA". It matches the Rfam family "Bacterial small subunit ribosomal RNA", at positions 917 to 1382 of the family's 1533-position model. The record is from RNAcentral.